GCACAUGUGUGUGUGUGAUAGGGUUGUGCAAAAGGAACAAGGUGUGCUUACGGAGAGGUGAGCAUUGUCCCCUUCAACAGAGUUGACGAUUACAGAGAUCAUCGCAAAAUCGACAUGCACAUGUCCCGCUGGGCAAGGAAACUCAGCGGCUUGCAAGCAUGUAGCUGCUUUACUUCUUUGCCUGGAAUGUUACUUAGAAACCGGCACGAUUUUCACUGGAGCAUCGUGUACUUCUGAAUUGCAGCAGUGGCAUAAACCUCCCAAGUUAGUAGACGAGCAGUUGUAUGGUACACUGAUCGAUGAACUGUUUCCUGCAAAACUUAGUGGUCCUUCGCCAGCAACGAGUUUCCUAAGCUCCAGUCCAUGCGAGAGUUUUACUACAUUUGCGGUGAAUGCCUCUAUCAAUCACCGAUUACAUACUAGUUUCAAUACUCACCGAAACUGCAAUUUGAUUGCCCUUUUUCAUGACCAUGACUACGCUACGGCACCGUUCGUGGAUUAUGUUAAUUCCAUUAACAUGGUAUCGGAGGAACAAAUAGAUGGUAUUGAAAAGCAAACAUUAAACCAAUCUGGUUCCACUUCAUGGUUUGAGUAUCGAAAAUCCAGAUUGACCGCUUCGAACAUACACAGUAUCAUAACUGCGAUGGAAACCAGCGAUAGAAAUAUGAGGCCUCCUAGUACCG
Long non-coding RNA from Aedes aegypti (yellow fever mosquito), 683 nucleotides. RefSeq lists it as uncharacterized. Lineage: Eukaryota; Metazoa; Arthropoda; Insecta; Diptera; Culicidae. The record is from RefSeq and is a predicted model, not a curated record. The transcript is spliced from 2 exons.